This 499-nucleotide ribosomal RNA is filed under the name uncultured bacterium. RNAcentral describes it as "partial 16S ribosomal RNA". It matches the Rfam family "Bacterial small subunit ribosomal RNA", at positions 28 to 507 of the family's 1533-position model. The record is from RNAcentral.
GACGAACGCUGGCGGCGUGCCUAAUACAUGCAAGUCGAGCGAAGUUUUUCUGGUGCUUGCACCGGAAAAACUUAGCGGCGAACGGGUGAGUAACACGUAAAGAACCUGCCUCAUAGACUGGGACAACUAUUGGAAACGAUAGCUAAUACCGGAUAAUAGCAUUAACUGCAUGGUUGAUGUUUAAAAGUUGGUUUUGCUAACACUGUGAGAUGGCUUUGCGGUGCAUUAGCUAGUUGGUGGGGUAAAGGCCUACCAAGGCGACGAUGCAUAGCCGACCUGAGAGGGUGAUCGGCCACACUGGGACUGAGACACGGCCCAGACUCCUACGGGAGGCAGCAGUAGGGAAUCUUCCGCAAUGGGCGAAAGCCUGACGGAGCAACGCCGCGUGAGUGAAGAAGGAUUUCGGUUCGUAAAGCUCUGUUGUUAGGGAAGAAUGAUUGUGUAGUAACUAUACACAGUAGAGACGGUACCUAACCAGAAAGCCACGGCUAACUACGUG